ACGAACGCUGGCGGCGUGCCUAAUACAUGCAAGUCGAACGAACGGAGGAAGAGCUUGCUCUUCCAAAGUUAGUGGCGGACGGGUGAGUAACACGUGGGCAACCUGCCUGUAAGUUGGGGAUAACUCCGGGAAACCGGGGCUAAUACCGAAUGAUAAARUGUGGCGCAUGCCACGCUUUUGAAAGAUGGUUUCGGCUAUCGCUUACAGAUGGGCCCGCGGUGCAUUAGCUAGUUGGUAGGGUAAUGGCCUACCAAGGCAACGAUGCAUAGCCGACCUGAGAGGGUGAUCGGCCACACUGGGACUGAGACACGGCCCAGACUCCUACGGGAGGCAGCAGUAGGGAAUCUUCCGCAAUGGACGAAAGUCUGACGGAGCAACGCCGCGUGUAUGAAGAAGGUUUUCGGAUCGUAAAGUACUGUUGUUAGAGAAGAACAAGGAUAAGAGUAACUGCUUGUCCCUUGACGGUAUCUAACCAGAAAGCCACGGCUAACU
This 492-nucleotide ribosomal RNA is filed under the name Listeria monocytogenes. RNAcentral's name for it is "bacterial SSU rRNA". It matches the Rfam family "Bacterial small subunit ribosomal RNA", at positions 29 to 502 of the family's 1533-position model. The record is from RNAcentral. Lineage: Bacteria; Bacillati; Bacillota; Bacilli; Caryophanales; Listeriaceae.